UUCAGGGCAUUCAAAAACUCCAACACUGAACAAGCUAGCUGUAACACUGUAUCGUUCCUGUCACGAUCAUCAGUUAUACACUCAACAUGAAGACCGUGUUAAUAGUAGUUUUGGCGGCGGUCAUUGUCGUACUCUGUCGCGGCCAAUGCAUGAUACGUCCAGCUCACUGUAAACCUGGGGACACUUACCAAGACGAUUGCUAUCAAUGCACUUAUAAUGGUGGAGAAUACGAAAGCUGUUGCUCCCUGGCUCCAAGGCCUACUCACUAUCCGGCUGAGUGUGAGGUGGAAUUUCACAAAGACAGGUGUGAAUACACAGUCACCAACCCUACCACAGGGGAACCAUGUCCUAUCUACGGUGGUGUGGGAAGAAAAUAACUCAUCAAAAGUUAUACGUUCAAUGGUAUUUCAAAUGACCAAUUGCGGCAUGUCCUUAUAUUCUAAA
This is a long non-coding RNA of Saccoglossus kowalevskii, 444 nucleotides long. RefSeq lists it as uncharacterized. The record is from RefSeq and is a predicted model, not a curated record. Lineage: Eukaryota; Metazoa; Hemichordata; Enteropneusta; Harrimaniidae.